AGUGAAUAGAUACCCUGGUAGUCCACGCCCUAAACGAUGAUCACUCGAUGUGUGCGAUAUACUGUACGCGUCUGAGCGAAAGCAUUAAGUGAUCCACCUGGGGAGUACGACCGCAAGGUUGAAACUCAAAGGAAUUGACGGGGGCCCGCACAAGCGGAGGAGCAUGUGGUUUAAUUCGAUGAUACGCGAGGAACCUUACCAGGGCUUGAAAGUUAGUGAAGGAUGUGGAAACAUGUCCGUCAGCAAUGACACGAAACUAGGUGCUGCAUGGCUGUCGUCAGCUCGUGCCGUGAGGUGUUGGGUUUAAGUCCCGCAACGAGCGCAACCCCUAUCAUUAGUUGCCACCAGGUUAAGCUGGGGACUCUAAUGAGACUGCCCGCGCAAGCGGUGAGGAAGGUGGGGAUGACGUCAAGUCAUCACGGCCCUUACGUCCUGGGCUACACACGUGCUACAAUGGCCGAUACAACGGGCAGCCACAUGGCAACAUGGAGCUAAUCCU
This 499-nucleotide ribosomal RNA is filed under the name uncultured bacterium. Its description in RNAcentral is "bacterial SSU rRNA". It matches the Rfam family "Bacterial small subunit ribosomal RNA", at positions 774 to 1275 of the family's 1533-position model. The record is from RNAcentral.